CGGUGUUUAACUGGCGUGAUGUGGGACGUCCUACCGGGGGGCUUAGCCUCGCGAGGGGCGGCCCAACUAAUAUCCCGUCGCGGUGCUCUUUACUGAGUGUCGAGUCGGGCCGGUACGUUUACUUGAACAAAUUAGAGUGCUUAAAGCAGGCUAUCCUCGCCUGAAUACUGCGUGCAUGGAAUAAUGGAAUAGGACCUCUGUUCUAUUUUGUUGGUUUUCGGAACCCCGAGGUAAUGAUUAAUAGGGACAGAUGGGGGCAUUCGUAUUGCGACGUAGAGGUGAAAUUCUUGGAUCGUCGCAAGACGGACAGAAGCGAAAGCAUUUGCCAAAAAUGUUUUCAUUAAUCAAGAACGAAAGUUAGAGGUUCGAAGGCGAUCAGAUACCGCCCUAGUUCUAACCAUAAACGAUGCCAGCUAGCGAUCCGCCGAAGUUCCUCCGAUGACUCGGCGGGCAGCUUCCGGGAAACCAAAGCUUUUGGGUUCCGGGGGAAGUAUGGUUGCAAAGCUGAAACUUAAAGGAAUUGACGGAAGGGCACCACCAGGAGUGGAGCCUGCGGCUUAAUUUGACUCAACACGGGAAACCUCACCAGGCCCAGACACCGGAAGGAUUGACAGAUUGAUAGCUCUUUCUUGAUUCGGUGGGUGGUGGUGCAUGGCCGUUCUUAGUUGGUGGAGCGAUUUGUCUGGUUAAUUCCGAUAACGAACGAGACUCUAGCCUGCUAAAUAGGCGUACCUUAUGGUAUCGCGAAGGCCCCCGGCUUCGGCCGGUGGGUUUUUACUACCAACGUACAAACAAAUCUUCUUAGAGGGACAGGCGG
Molecule: ribosomal RNA, 817 nt
Filed under: uncultured eukaryote
Lineage: Eukaryota
Description: SSU rRNA
Rfam family: Eukaryotic small subunit ribosomal RNA
Source: RNAcentral